This is a small nucleolar RNA of Mastomys coucha (southern multimammate mouse), 142 nucleotides long. RefSeq annotates it as small nucleolar RNA SNORA48. The record is from RefSeq and is a predicted model, not a curated record. Lineage: Eukaryota; Metazoa; Chordata; Mammalia; Rodentia; Muridae. The transcript has a single exon.
CCAUCCUGCAAGGGACAAAGAAACAUCUCAUCGGUGGUGUUGUUCUUAUAUGAGUCAGGGUGGAGCAGAUGUUAGUCCUCUGCUCUUCCUAGGUUGAUGCCUGGCUUGAUGACCAAAGCUGUCUUAUGCCUAGGACUCAUAA